AUGUCAUGGAAUUUCCAGCUAAUAAUAAACAGAAGGAAAGAAGAAAAUUUAGAGCGAGCGAUCCACACUGCAAGUGAAACCUGAAGCUACACAGCAAGACCGAGACGCCAGAUGUGGCGGCAAAACGUUUUCCGGGAAACUCCAGACUCUGACCUGAGCAUUUCCGAUGGGGAAGAUUUUGAUUCUAAUUUACCCAAUCACUGUGAUUCAAUAAGUCGGCCUUCGAAUAAAAAGGAAGAAUUGCAACUUCCAUCAAGGCUGGAGAGGCUUAGAGGUACCCUUGAAUGGGACUAUGAAGGAAAAACUAGCAACUUAUCUAACGAGAAGGAAACAAAUGUCUCUCUUGAAGACGAUGUUGAAAUGCCCGAAUUCCAUAAUGAGGGUCACUUCAUAUUCUCCCCGAAGAAGGCAUUUGCGUGCAACCCAGAUGAGGAAAUGAUCUCUGAUGACGAGGAAAACAGUGUGCUCUCAACAUUUUCUGCUACCUCUGGCACUAAAAAGUUCCACAAAGACAAUCUUCAGAGCCUUGGAAGUGGGAAGCAAGAUGGGUCACAGACAUGGUCCGCUGUGAGAAAAGAAGCUGAUGAACUGAUACAUUUGAACAAGAAUCCUCUGUGUUCAUCAUCCCAUUCUGCCCACGUCAUAGCUAACAAAUCUCUUAAAGGUGCUAGAUGCAAGGCUAAGCUAAAAUAUCCAUUCAGUUUCCAGUCACAUAAUGAAGGACGCUCUUGUCCUUCUAUCUCUAAGGAUGAAAAUGAUGUGUUAUUCAAGGGUCAUGAAGAACCCAAACGAUUAGACCCCAUCGAGCCUAGAUACAAAGAACAUUCAAUUGCCGAGGUUCUUGGAGAUUGCCAGGGAGAAUAUGAAAAUCAGUCAGAGAUUGUGCUUGCUGAAGUGGGAGCUCUUGUGCAUGGAUGCGUUGAGCGAUCCAUGGCAGAGCUUUUAGAUGGCCUUCAGGAUAGGGCUAGUCUGCUGAAAGGAGUUUCUAAAAUGUGUAGUAGAACAAGAAGUAAAAGGGGGCAGAUUGUUGCAAAGAGAAGUGUCUCUCCCCUGGGAGAUAGAACUGUUGAUAGUGAGGACUCCCCUGAAUCCAUGGGUAGUGGAUCAUCUAGUGAGGAUGAGCAGGCCAAAGAUCAAAAACUAAAGGUUACUACCCCAGAAAUGAAAGGGCAAACUAUGGCAGAUCGGUUUCAAGAAGCUGUAGGUGCCACCUUUCUAAAUAAUGAAGGGGCCAUUGUUGCAGUGCCUAAACCAUCAGGCAUUGGAUUAUUUGGGAAGUUGCAACAGCUCAUGCAGAGUGAAAAAGAAAGAGAUAUGGAUUUUUUGAAGAAGUUGCAGACUGGAUCUAAUGCAAAUGAUGAAACAAGCUACAUUGUUGUAAAAAUCCUGGCUAGAUACUUGGAUGCAAAGCUGACGGUUUGUCAAUGCUCUUUUGGCCAGAACAUGGAGUCAGGGAGCCCCCAAAUACUGGUAAAUGGAGGAAGGAAAAGAACUAUUAUUUUCAACCCAAGAGUUAGCAGCGAUGUUGACCUUGAAGUUGGGAACUUGAUUUGUAUUCAUCCCCCAUGGAAGGAGGUUCAAGUGGGAAAUGAUGAGAGCAUUCUUCUCUCCACAUAUUUUUCCCAAAUUGUAAUUUGACCAGCUCAGGCACAGGCAUGCAAGAAGUAGAGCCUCAAACUGUGUUUCACUCGGCAAAGGAGGAAGAUGGGUUUCUUGUGCGAAAGGAAGAAACUUACAUACAUACUUUAGAUAGUAUCUUUUUGUCUCUUUGGUUGACAAGACAUGAACGGUAGCGAUGCAAAAGUUUUACCUUCGAGUUUCAACUUACUUGGGGCCGGAACAGUAUGGACGAGUAGAUCUGAUAUGAAAUAUUUGAAGUAGCUCCUUUGAUGAAAAAUAUAUUUUAAAGAUUUGAUAUGAAAUAUUUUAAGGAGCUAUUUUGAUGGAAAA
This is an RNA transcript of Alnus glutinosa, 1950 nucleotides long. RefSeq lists it as uncharacterized. The transcript has 16 exons. The record is from RefSeq and is a predicted model, not a curated record. Lineage: Eukaryota; Viridiplantae; Streptophyta; Magnoliopsida; Fagales; Betulaceae.